GAAUCCAAUUUCUUUGUGUGUUCUUUAAGAUACAUAAAGAAAUCGCGUAAUAUACAGCAAUGGCAGUACCAUUGGCAGCAUGAAUCGGUGCACUUUGACCCGUGAAUUGAGCAAACAGAAUUGCUAUCUAACUUGCGUUUGACUCAUUCUUUUCACCACUCGGCCGUCCGUUGUGCUCCGUUAUGUAUGCGUGCGAUAGAUUCGUAUAUACGGUAAUUUCUACCACAAAUGAAUAUUGGGAAUCUGUUGUGUGCACGUGUGUGAAAGGAGAGAGAUCGAUCACGAGUUGGACGUUUGUUUUCGUGGCCUUGGAUGUUCAUAUUCGCGCACAUCUUCGUGAUGGAAUACGAAGAGACGAAGAUAAGAAAAUAUUUUUCAAGUAUACUUCGCAGUAUCGUUAAAUAGUGGAUGAAACGUCAAGUUGUUCGUUUUCUGGAAAAUGUGUAUGAAAAAUAUCGCUGCUAGAUAUGAAACUCGUUGCUGCCUCUUCCUCCAUGACAGAAGAGAAUUGAUAUUAUAAAUAAGAUAUAAGGCAACAUCGACAUAAUUAUGAGAAUCGAAUAAUAUAUAGUCGCGAAUAAUUGCAUGGAAAAAAGUAAAAAGAUUGUAAAAAAAAGAUUAUAACUAAGAAAUUAGCUAUACUGUUUUAAAAUGAUUUUAUUUUAAAGUUACAUGUUGACAGAUUUUAUGAUACGAUUACAAAGAUUAAAAAGAAAAAUUCUUGUAUAUUCUUCGAAAAUAUUUAUAGGUUUUUAAGUUUUAAAAAUUAGGAUAGCAAUAAUUCAAUUUGGAAGAUUACAGAGAUCAUAAGAUAACUAAAGAAUCAUAGAAUAAGGAUACUUAUUUAGUAAUUUAGGAAAUAAAAAAUAGAAUUA
Molecule: long non-coding RNA, 875 nt
Organism: Apis dorsata (giant honeybee)
Lineage: Eukaryota; Metazoa; Arthropoda; Insecta; Hymenoptera; Apidae
Exons: 2
Source: RefSeq, a predicted model, not a curated record